Molecule: ribosomal RNA, 493 nt
Filed under: uncultured bacterium
Lineage: Bacteria
Description: bacterial SSU rRNA
Rfam family: Bacterial small subunit ribosomal RNA
Source: RNAcentral
CUGGCUCAGGAUGAACGCUGGCGGCGUGCUUAACACAUGCAAGUCGAACGGAGUUUUAACGGAAGUUUCGGAUGGAAGUUAGAACUAGUGGCGGACGGGUGAGUAACGCGUGGGUAACCUGCCUCAUACAGGGGGAUAACAGUUAGAAAUGACUGCUAACACCGCAUAAUAUAGCGAAACCGCAUGAUUUUGCUAUCAAAUAUUUAUAGGUAUGAGAUGGGCCCGCGUCUGAUUAGCUAGUUGGUGGGGUAAAGCCUACCAAGGCGACGAUCAGUAGCCGGCUUGAGAGAGUGACCGGCCACAUUGGGACUGAGACACGGCCCAAACUCCUACGGGAGGCAGCAGUGGGGAAUAUUGGACAAUGGGGGAAACCCUGAUCCAGCGAACCGCCGCGUGAGUGAAGAAGUAUUUCGGUAUGUAAAGCUCUAUCAGCAGGGAAGAUAAUGACAGUACCUGACUGAGAAGCCCCGGCUAACUACGUGCCAGCCGCCGC